This 659-nucleotide long non-coding RNA is filed under the name Hordeum vulgare. RNAcentral's name for it is "long non-coding RNA (HVUL_LNC004348)". The record is from RNAcentral. Lineage: Eukaryota; Viridiplantae; Streptophyta; Magnoliopsida; Poales; Poaceae.
UUUUGGGUUCAUACCGUGCGGUGUCCUCAUCCAGUGACAGAAGGGGUAGCGAGGCACGCAUCGUGUUGUUGCCAUCAAGGGUAAAAAGAUGGGGUUUAUAUCUAUUGCAUGAAUUUAUCCCUCUACAUCAUGUCAUCUUGCUUAAGGCGUUACUCCGUUUGUUAUGAACUUAAUACACUAGAUGCAUGUUGGAUAGCGGUCGAUGUGUGGAGUAAUAGUAGUAGAUGCAGAAAGUAUCGGUCUACUUGUCUCGGACGUGAUGCCUAUAUGUAUGAUCAUUGCCUUAGAUAUCAUCAUGACUUUGCGCGGUUCUAUCAAUUGCUCGACAGUAAUUCGUUCACCCACCGUAAUACUUGCUAUCAUGAGAGAAGCCUCUAGUGAACACUAUGGCCCCCGGGUCUACUUCACAUCAUAUUUUUAGCUCUACACUUUUACGUUGUUGCACUUUCCACCUUCAGAUCUCACCUCGCAAUUAAUCGUGAAGGGAUUGACAACCCCUUUAUAGCACUGGGUGCAAGUUUGUUUGCUUUUGCGGAGGUACUUUGGAGACUUAUCUUGAUACUCCUACUGGAUUGAUACCUUGGUUCUCAAACGGAGGGAAAUACUUACUGCUACUAUGCUGCAUCACCCUUUCCUCUUCAAGGGAAAAACCAACGCAA